Molecule: transfer RNA, 63 nt
Filed under: Lens contradens
Lineage: Eukaryota; Metazoa; Mollusca; Bivalvia; Unionida; Unionidae
Description: tRNA-Cys
Source: RNAcentral
AGUUUUGUAGUAUAGGUGCUAAUACUGUAAACUGCAACUUUACCAACGCUAAGGCCAAAACUU